CCCGACUUGCUCUAUUGGUAGAGCAUGAGACUCAUAAUCUCAGGGUAGUGAGUUCAUGUCCCAUGUCUGG
RNAcentral lists this transfer RNA (70 nucleotides) under Lepisosteus oculatus (spotted gar). It matches the Rfam family "tRNA". Rfam says of the family: Transfer RNA (tRNA) molecules are approximately 80 nucleotides in length. The record is from Rfam by way of RNAcentral. Lineage: Eukaryota; Metazoa; Chordata; Actinopteri; Semionotiformes; Lepisosteidae.